This 1040-nucleotide ribosomal RNA is filed under the name Proteocephalus percae. Its description in RNAcentral is "SSU rRNA". It matches the Rfam family "Eukaryotic small subunit ribosomal RNA", at positions 4 to 888 of the family's 1831-position model. Lineage: Eukaryota; Metazoa; Platyhelminthes; Cestoda; Proteocephalidea; Proteocephalidae. The record is from RNAcentral.
CUGGUUGAUCCUGCCAGUAGUCAUAUGCUUGUCUCAAAGAUUAAGCCAUGCAUGUCUCAGUGCACGCCUUUAUACGGUGAAACCGCGAAUGGCUCAUUAAAUCAGCUAUGGUUUAUUGGAUCAUACCCGUUAAAUGGAUAACUGUAAUAACUCUAGAGCUAAUACAUGCCAUUAUGCCCUGACCCUCACGGGAAUGGGUGCACUUAUUAGAUCAGAAGCCAACCGUGUACGGCUGCAAGGCAGUGCAUGUUGACCUUCUGGUGACUCUGGAUAAUUGUUACAGAUCGCAGUCGGCCUUGAGUCGGCGACGGGUCCUUCAAAUGUCUGCCCUAUCAACUUUCGAUGGUAGGUGACCUGCCUACCAUGGUGAUAACGGGUAACGGGGAAUCAGGGUUCGAUUCCGGAGAGGGAGCCUGAGAAACGGCUACCACUUCCAAGGGAGGCAGCAGGCGCGCAAAUUACCCACUCCCAGUACGGGGAGGUGGUGACGAAAAAUACCGAUGCGGGACUCUUAACGAGGCUCCGUAAUCGGAAUGAGUGAACUAUAAAUCCUUUCACGAGGAUCAAUUGGAGGGCAAGUCUGGUGCCAGCAGCCGCGGUAACUCCAGCUCCAAUAGCGUAUAUUAAAGUUGCUGCAGUUAAAAAGCUCGUAGUUGGAUCUCGGUAUCACUGUUGCUCGUCAGUCCUUAGGCGGUAGACUGCGUGUGCAUGGGUUUGACUCGUGUUGCCGUGGUUUGUCGUCCGAGUUGGCGGUGUGACGGUGUCGCCUUUCAGCCAUGUCUGUGGUGAAAUACCCGCAGGUGUAGGCGAGUGUCAGGCGGUGCCUUGCGAAAGUAGGGCUCGUCGGCUCGUCUGCAUGCCUUUGGAUGCCCUUUAAAAGGUGUCUGUGGGCGGAUGGCACGUUUACUUUGAACAAAUUUGAGUGCUCAGACCAGGCCGGUGUUGCCUGAAAAGUUUUGCAUGGAAUAAUGGAAUAGGACUUCGGUUCUAUUUCGUUGGUUUUCGGAUCCGAAGUAAUGAUCAAAAGAGACAGGCGGGGG